Molecule: ribosomal RNA, 438 nt
Filed under: uncultured bacterium
Lineage: Bacteria
Description: partial 16S ribosomal RNA
Rfam family: Bacterial small subunit ribosomal RNA
Source: RNAcentral
CUACGGGAGCACCAGUGAGGAAUAUUGCACAAUGGGGGGAACCCUGAUGCAGCAACGCCGCGUGGAGGAUGACGCAUUUCGGUGUGUAAACUCCUUUUAUAUGUCAAGAAAAUGACGGUAGCAUAUGAAUAAGCACCGGCUAACUACGUGCCAGCAGCCGCGGUAAUACGGAGGGUGCAAGCGUUACUCGGAAUCACUGGGCGUAAAGGACGCGUAGGCGGGUUGGAAAGUCAGGUGUGAAAUCCUACAGCUUAACCGUAGAACUGCACUUGAAACUUCUAAUCUAGAGUAUGGGAGGGGGAGAUGGAAUUAGUGGUGUAGGGGUAAAAUCCGUAGAUAUCACUAGGAAUACCUAAAGCGAAGGCGAUCUCCUGGAACAUUACUGACGCUAAGGCGUGAAAGCGUGGGGAGCAAACAGGAUUAGAUACCCGCGUAGUC